RNAcentral lists this ribosomal RNA (521 nucleotides) under Fusarium oxysporum. Its description in RNAcentral is "eukaryotic LSU rRNA". The stretch from base 149 to 302 matches the Rfam family "5.8S ribosomal RNA". The record is from RNAcentral. Lineage: Eukaryota; Fungi; Ascomycota; Sordariomycetes; Hypocreales; Nectriaceae.
CGGCGGUGUAUCUCGCCAACCCCUGUGACAUACCUUUAUGUUGCCUCGGCGGAUCAGCCCGCGCCCCGUAAAACGGGACGGCCCGCCGCAGGAACCACAAAACUCUGAUUUUAGUGUAACUUCUGAGUCUAAAAAACAAAUAAAUCAAAACUUUCAACAACGGAUCUCUUGGUUCUGGCAUCGAUGAAGAACGCAGCAAAAUGCGAUAAGUAAUGUGAAUUGCAGAAUUCAGUGAAUCAUCGAAUCUUUGAACGCACAUUGCGCCCGCCAGUAUUCUGGCGGGCAUGCCUGUUCGAGCGUCAUUUCAACCCUCAAGCCCCCGGGUUUGGUGUUGGGGAUCGGGCUGUACUCCAGCCCGGCCCCGAAAUCUAGUGGCGGUCUCGCUGCAGCCUCCAUUGCGUAGUAGCUAACACCUCGCAACUGGAACGCGGCGCGGCCAAGCCGUUAAACCCCCAACUUCUGAAUGUUGACCUCGGAUCAGGUAGGAAUACCCGCUGAAAAAAACCAUAUCAAUAAGCGAA